RNAcentral lists this ribosomal RNA (445 nucleotides) under uncultured bacterium. Its description in RNAcentral is "bacterial SSU rRNA". It matches the Rfam family "Bacterial small subunit ribosomal RNA", at positions 330 to 792 of the family's 1533-position model. The record is from RNAcentral.
UCCAGACUCCUACGGGAGGCAGCAGUGGGGAAUAUUGCACAAUGGGGGGAACCCUGAUGCAGCGACGCCGCGUGAGUGAAGAAGUAUCUCGGUACGUAAAGCUCUAUCAGCAGGGAAGAAAAUGACGGUACCUGACUAAGAAGCCCCGGCUAACUACGUGCCAGCAGCCGCGGUAAUACGUAGGGGGCGAGCGUUAUCCGGAUUCACUGGGUGUAAAGGGAGCGUAGACAGCCAUGCAAGCCAGGGGUGAAAGCCCGGGGCCCAACCCCGGGACUGCCCUUGGAACUGCAUGGCUGGAGUGCGGGAGGGGCAGGCGGAAUUCCUGGUGUAGCGGUGAAAUGCGUAGAUAUCAGGAGGAACACCGGCGGCGAAGGCGGCUUGCUGGACAGUAACUGACGUUGAGGCUCGAAAGCGUGGGGAGCAAACAGGAUUAGAUACCCCAGUA